AGGUGAUUUGACAUCUACCAAACAAAUCGAUUCAACACCAAAAAAUCAGUUUAAGAACACGCCGCUAGAUUCAUAAACUAACAAACGAAACAGCUAUGUAUUUGUGUUUUACGGGUGUUGACGGGUAGAAUUUCAUCUCUGGAGUCUUUCUCAGCAUCAGUAUUGUGUAGCGUCUUAGAAAAAGCAAGAAGCAUAAACCUGAGCUUCGGGAGCGUAGAAUUUCAAAGAAACCCAAAAAUGCUUCUGGAACUUUCGCCUAGUAGGAAACUGAUUCUCAAGGUGAGCGGAAACAUUUCAGCUUUGGAAAAGGGUAGCGGUUCAUCUGGCUACGUAAUACAUCCGGAUGUGGUAUUUUCUUCGCGAGUGGCUAUUCCGGGGAGCGUAAAAAUACUAGAAGCGCAGAAAAAAGAACACCAAACCGACAUCGGAAAGCCGAUUUCAUGCAGCACAAUUCCGAUACUGUCAGAAAUGGAAACAGUAUAAGAAACCUAUUCAUUUCAUUCAUCCGGCUACACCAGCAAAGCCAGCCAUUCCUUUAACCACAUUCGGAGCAAAGAAGGAAAUCAUGGUAGAAAGAUAGGUUAUCAUCGAUGGACCCCAUCCCGGCUUAGUUCUGCUACAAUUCCACCUUUCAACCGGUUAAUAAUAUGGACAAUAGUUGCUUAAACAGUGUGCAAAGAUAAAAAUGAGAAUUUAUGAAAAUGUGUAUGUAUUUCUUGAAAUCAUUGAUAAUUUUUUUUUAUAUUUUUACAUUAAAUGUCAUACUAACACCUUCAUUUCCUCCAUAGAAAGUUUUUCGAUCAAAUGAAUAGUUUUUAAAAUACACACGAUUGUAAUUGCCCGAAUUCUAGAUGACCAUAGCCUUAAUACGUACACUUUUAAUAAUAAAAAAAACUGAUCA
Uranotaenia lowii is the source of this 901-nucleotide long non-coding RNA. RefSeq lists it as uncharacterized. The record is from RefSeq and is a predicted model, not a curated record. Lineage: Eukaryota; Metazoa; Arthropoda; Insecta; Diptera; Culicidae. The transcript is spliced from 4 exons.